GAUGCCAUGCAUGUCAGCAUGCUGGAAGGGUUCGACGAGAACCUGGAUGUGCAGGGGGAGUUGAUUCUCCAGGAUGCCUUUCAAGUGUGGGACCCGAAGUCGCUGAUCCGGAAGGGGCGGGAGCGGCACUUGUUCCUCUUUGAGAUCUCCUUGGUUUUUAGCAAGGAGAUCAAAGAUUCUUCAGGACACACGAAAUAUGUUUACAAGAACAAGCUACUGACCUCAGAGCUGGGUGUGACCGAGCACGUGGAGGGCGAUCCCUGCAAAUUUGCCUUGUGGUCUGGGCGCACCCCAUCCUCAGACAAUAAAACAGUGCUGAAAGUAAGUACUGCUUUCUGCUAGGCACAAACUAGGGUUGGGGGUAAUAGAAGUGGGGGUGGGCAAGUGAUGCCUAAAAGCUAAGGCCCAGAGGCUCCUCUCUUGGGAAUGGCAGCAUCACAUGGGCAUUGAGAAGCAAAUUCUAUCAUGAAAGUAGACCCAGAAUCUCAAAGAUGCAUGAUCUCCUCAAGUGCAUGCACAUGUGUUACCAAGAGGGAAGAAAGCAGGGAGUGGCUUGCGGGGCCAGCUCAGCA
This 572-nucleotide small RNA is filed under the name Pongo abelii (Sumatran orangutan). Its description in RNAcentral is "retained intron". The record is from RNAcentral. Lineage: Eukaryota; Metazoa; Chordata; Mammalia; Primates; Hominidae.